AGAUUGAACGCUGGCGGCAUGCCUUACACAUGCAAGUCGAACGGCAGCACGGGAGCAAUCCUGGUGGCGAGUGGCGAACGGGUGAGUAAUACAUCGGAACGUGCCCAAUCGUGGGGGAUAACGCAGCGAAAGCUGUGCUAAUACCGCAUAAGAUCUACGGAUGAAAGCAGGGGAUCGCAAGACCUUGCGCGAAUGGAGCGGCCGAUGGCAGAUUAGGUAGUUGGUGAGGUAAAGGCUCACCAAGCCUUCGAUCUGUAGCUGGUCUGAGAGGACGAUCGACGCCACGAGGUUCGGACUAGGAACGACGACCGGACCCAAACUCCCGUAACGGGAGGCAGGCAAGGUGGGGAAUCGUGCGCAAGUGGACGAAAGCCUAGACGCAGCCAUGCCGCGUGAAGUGAUGAAGU
This 407-nucleotide ribosomal RNA is filed under the name uncultured soil bacterium. Its description in RNAcentral is "bacterial SSU rRNA". It matches the Rfam family "Bacterial small subunit ribosomal RNA", at positions 26 to 414 of the family's 1533-position model. The record is from RNAcentral.